CCAGAGAGGGCACAUGUGCCUCAAUUGGCCUAGAGCAUAGCGGCUCAUUAUCCUUCCACCGCUGGUGGUGGGCGGUACUCGCUGCUCUGUGAAGCCAGCCUCACGCAAUGUCCGCCACUUUAGGUGUGUGGAUGCAAAAGCUUUUGCCAAGGCACCCUAAACCCACUACACAACUUGGAAUGGGUGGUCCACAGUUUGUAGCACUAGACCCAGGCACAUGCACCAUAAUUGAUAUCCACACUACCUUAUUGCCCCCGCUCGGGUUACAAGCAAUCGCUACUUGCUCAGCGAGUGAGGGGGUUCAGGACUACCUAUUUAAGGUGGUGUUGUACUCUAUGAGCCGGCGGUGCGGUAUUUACCAACUACAAAUAGUGUCAUGCAUGUGACUUGCUAGUUGACAAAGUAUGUUGUCGAGCUAGAUGUGGGCUAUGGAUGAAGCACAUUAGGAUAUAGUAGGCCUAUUUUGUUUUUUGUUGUUUUUGGGCCACUAUGGACUUUAUGUAGAUGUUGUGAAAUUUUUUCUUGUGUUUCGUCUUCCUACGACGUGGAAAGUGGGUGCGUCAGAGAAGAAAGAAAGAGUGGCUAGAAUUGAUUUUACGUCAUAUCAUUGAGAACACUAAUCAGAAGCAGAAGCAACAAUAUUUCAUACAUAUACAACACUUGUAAUCCAUAUAAACAAUUUUCCUUUAAAAUAUAAUAUAAACCACAUGAUUUAUAUCCUGGGUCGGCUAUCUCCACAAAGGGCAAGAAAAUGCUCCUAGGUUUGUAGUAUAGAACUAAGAGUAUCGACUCUCACGAUUUCUUCCCGACAUAUGCAAACUAGACAGUAAUCACAUAAAAUAAAGAAAUGUGUGUUAACACGAACUUAUCACAUGUAUUUCAACAUAUAGAUUGUUGAUUAUUAUGGUAGAUUAUAUAAUAUAGGGGUUCCCAAAGAAAUACAUAAAAAACAAGAGCAUUAAAAUUUCAUUUUCAGAUUUGGCUAACUGGUAAAGGGAGUUGGAGUAUCUGAGUUUCCAAAUUUGGGACGUCGCUCUAUAGAAGGAAUAUAAAUACAUUGGAAAAAAUUCUACAAGGAAAGGUUUAAUACAAGUAGGGCUAAGAAAAACUCAAUGAGGCUUUGGUCGCAUGGUCACAAGAGUUGAGACAAUAAACACGAAGACACUAAGGUAAUUAGUAUGAGAGUUUUCCAAAUUUGGUGUCUUGAUGUAGAAAAAAUAAAUAUAUGACAAACAUGUUUUUUUGCAAGGCAUGGUAAAAUAAGUGGGAGUGAGCAAUAAAUUUCAUCCUAGAUUUAGAAGGAAUAAAUAUAUCACUAAAUACAUUUUUUCACAAUGCCAAGUUAACCAGGCGGAACCGAGAAACAAUUCUAGCAAGGCUAGGUUGUACUAGCCCGAAACUACAUACAACAGAGGAAAAAUGAAGAAAAUGAUGGUAUACCAAAUAUGGCGCAUGAGCCUUAAGGUGCACCUAGAAGGAAGUAGAAGAAAUAAAUAUAUAAUAUGAUAUGUUUUUCGCAAUGCAAGGUAUUGUGUAGAUGUGCUCUAACUGGGCUUAGAUUGCAGCGAUACAUUAUGCAUCCACAAGGCUUGGUUGCACAUGGAAAAAGAUAGCGAGAGAAAUGUAGACGUAGGACCAGGAGAAAAACAUUCAAUGAGACGUGAUUGCAUGGACAUAGAACUAGAUAUAAGACAAGAGUUAAAGAAAAAUAAAGGAACUAAAUUUUCUUUUGCACAUUAAGCAUGAAUGGAGUUGUAGUAUCUAAGAUCAAAAAUUAAUUUAUUCCAAGAUGCAGAACAAAAUUGUGAUACUCGUAAUGGUUACAUAGGAACAAAAGUAGAUAAGAAAAAUAGCAAAAAGAUAGUGGUCUACCAGGGAGGGCACAUGUGCCUCAAUUGGCCUAUAGCAUAGUGGCUCAUUAUCCUUCCACCGCUGGUGGCGGGCGGUACUCGCUGCUCUGUGAAGCCAGCCUCACGCAAUGUCCGCCACUUUAGGUGUUAGGAUGCAAAGGCUUUACCCAAGGCACCCAAAACCCACUACAGAACUUGGAAUGGGUGGUCCACAGUUUGUAGCACUAGACCCAGGCACAUGCUCCUCAAUUGACAUCCACACUAGCUUAUUGCCCCGCUCGGGUUACAAGCAAUCACUACUUGCUCACGAGUGAGGGGGUUCAGGACUGCCUAUUUUAGGUGGUGUUGUACACUAUGAACCGACGGUGUGGUAUUUACCAACAAUAAAUAGUUUCAUGCAUGUGAGUUGCUAGUUGGCAAAGUCUAUUGUCAAGCUAGCUAUGGAAUAUGGCUAAUGGACAUGAGGGUAGAAUGGGCCUAUUCUGUAUUUUGUUGUUUUUGGGCCAUUAUGGACUUUAUGUUGAUGUUCUGAAAAACUUUCAUAUGUUUCCUCUUGCCUCUGAUGUGAAAGUGGGCGCGUCAGAGACGAAAGGAAGAGUGGCUAGCAGAGAUUUUACAUCAUCCCCUUGAGAACAAUAAUCAAAGCAGAAGCAAUAAUAUUUCAUACGUACACAACACUUGUAAUCCAUAUAAACAGCUUUCCUUCAAAAAAUAAUGUAAACCACAUGAUGUAUAUCUUGGACAGCUCAUCUCCAUAGAGGGCAAGGAAACGCUCCUAAGUUUGUAGUAUAGAACUGGGGGGUGUUUGGGAUGACUCUAGAUUCUAGCUCCUGCGUGGAGAUGUAGUUUAUAAUAUCUAUUUAAAUAGUUUUAAAAAUAUUUUUAGUCUAAAUAAUAAAUGAAAUAGCCUAUUUACAUGUCUUCUAAAGGCUUACAGCUCUAGCUCCAUGAUUUUCUGGAGCACCUAGCAUGAAUGGAGUUGUAGUAUCUGAGAUCCCAAAUUUAAUUUGUUUCAAGAUGCAGAAGAAAUUGCAACACUCGUAAUGGUUACAUAGGGACAAAAGUAGAUAAGAAAAAUAGCAAAAAGAUAGUGGUUUACCAGAGAGGGCACUUGUGCCCAAAUUGGCCUAGAGCAUAGCGACUCAUUAUCCUUCCACCGUUGGUGGCGGGCGGUACUCUCUGCUCUGUGAGGCCAGCCUCACGCAAUGUCCACCACUUUAGGUGUUGGGAUAUAAAGGCUUUCGCCAAGACACCCGAAACCCACUACACAACUUGGAAUGGGUGGUCCACAGUUUGUAGCACUAGACCCAGGCACACGCUCCACAAUUGACAUCCACACUACCUUAUUGCCCCCGCUCGGGUUACAAGCAAU
This 3222-nucleotide long non-coding RNA is filed under the name Zea mays. RNAcentral's name for it is "long non-coding RNA (ZMAY_LNC000227)". Lineage: Eukaryota; Viridiplantae; Streptophyta; Magnoliopsida; Poales; Poaceae. The record is from RNAcentral.